GUAAUGACGUAAUACCCGGUGUUCUGCCGUAAACGUUAUUCCCGCAUGAAGUAAUUUCAACUAAAACAACUGUUACAGGCUGUUGGUCGGUAUCGUUCGUCAACAGGAAAGCGCAUUAAAUGCAACGUUUUUAUAGAACUUAGCUGGAAGCCAAUUUUGUGAAACCGCUAUCCACAUUGACUGAGGCACUGGUUCCAAAUAGAGAAAACAGCCCCAACCUGUGAUGCCAACACUACGCUUCCCUGGAGCCAAACAUCAUCAUUCCACAUGCCGGUUUUGGCCCGAGAUGAAGCUGCAGCUGAAUGCCAAAAAACAAAGCGGCUCCAGUAUCCGCUCGGCAGCUACUAAGGGUGUUUGCCAUGAUGCUUUUGGUGCUUGUAUUGGGCUGUCACAUCCUCUCUGCCAGCUCCAAUAAACAGUCACUUCACAUAUCAGAGCUGCUAAGUCACAGCCAACUCGAGAGGAGCACCUGAGGUGAACCCAGAGUGUCCCUCAUAUUCAGCUUGGCUAUAUCAGCAUUCCAGCAGUCCUUACUGGAGAAAAAACUUUUUGUUGGGGUCAGUGUGCACAUUAUAUUGUGUGUGUUCACCUGGACUCUACAAGAUGAAUGACUCGAGCUUUCAGGCUGAGAAAUGGCUGCAGUGCGUUAAAUCUAACAAUCAAGCUUCUUCUGCACAGCUGAAUGGACAGGCACAAAAACUGUGAAUGGUAGUAUGAAAGGGCUAGCCAAAGAAAAUAAUUGCUGCUGUGUUCAACAGAGAGAGGAAAUAACGUCAAAUAUGUUGUUUGCAGCAAACGAGCAACAUAUUAAAUUGCUCAUGCGGGCAGUAGGGCAUGGGUUCAAUCACUGGAAAUGAAA
Long non-coding RNA from Corythoichthys intestinalis (scribbled pipefish), 859 nucleotides. RefSeq lists it as uncharacterized. NCBI's taxonomy places the organism in Eukaryota, Metazoa, Chordata, Actinopteri, Syngnathiformes, Syngnathidae. The record is from RefSeq and is a predicted model, not a curated record. The transcript is spliced from 5 exons.